This 585-nucleotide ribosomal RNA is filed under the name uncultured bacterium. Its description in RNAcentral is "bacterial SSU rRNA". It matches the Rfam family "Bacterial small subunit ribosomal RNA", at positions 338 to 916 of the family's 1533-position model. The record is from RNAcentral.
CCUACGGGAGGCAGCAGUGGGGAAUUUUGGACAAUGGGGGAAACCCUGAUCCAGCAAUGCCGCGUGUGUGAAGAAGGCCUUCGGGUUGUAAAGCACUUUUGUCAGGAACGAAACGGUGGGGGCUAAUACCUCCUGCUAAUGACGGUACCUGAAGAAUAAGCACCGGCUAACUACGUGCCAGCAGCCGCGGUAAUACGUAGGGUGCGAGCGUUAAUCGGAAUUACUGGGCGUAAAGCGUGCGCAGGCGGUUGUGCAAGACAGAUGUGAAAUCCCCGGGCUCAACCUGGGAAUGGCAUUUGUGACUGCACGGCUAGAGUGUGUCAGAGGGGGGUAGAAUUCCACGUGUAGCAGUGAAAUGCGUAGAUAUGUGGAGGAAUACCGAUGGCGAAGGCAGCCCCCUGGGAUAACACUGACGCUCAUGCACGAAAGCGUGGGGAGCAAACAGGAUUAGAUACCCUGGUAGUCCACGCCCUAAACGAUGUCAACUAGUUGUCGGGUCUUAAUUGACUUGGUAACGCAGCUAACGCGUGAAGUUGACCGCCUGGGGAGUACGGUCGCAAGAUUAAAACUCAAAGGAAUUGACGG